UACCUUUUGUAUAAUGGGUCAGCGACUUAUAUUCUGUAGCAAGGUUAACCGAAUAGGGGAGCCGAAGGGAAACCGAGUCUUAACUGGGCGUUAAGUUGCAGGGUAUAGACCCGAAACCCGGUGAUCUAGCCAUGGGCAGGUUGAAGGUUGGGUAACACUAACUGGAGGACCGAACCGACUAAUGUUGAAAAAUUAGCGGAUGACUUGUGGCUGGGGGUGAAAGGCCAAUCAAACCGGGAGAUAGCUGGUUCUCCCCGAAAGCUAUUUAGGUAGCGCCUCGUGAAUUCAUCUCCGGGGGUAGAGCACUGUUUCGGCAAGGGGGUCAUCCCGACUUACCAACCCGAUGCAAACUGCGAAUACCGGAGAAUGUUAUCACGGGAGACACACGGCGGGUGCUAACGUCCGUCGUGAAGAGGGAAACAACCCAGACCGCCAGCUAAGGUCCCAAAGUCAUGGUUAAGUGGGAAACGAUGUGGGAAGGCCCAGACAGCCAGGAUGUUGGCUUAGAAGCAGCCAUCAUUUAAAGAAAGCGUAAUAGCUCACUGGUCGAGUCGGCCUGCGCGGAAGAUGUAACGGGGCUAAACCAUGCACCGAAGCUGCGGCAGCGACACUAUGUGUUGUUGGGUAGGGGAGCG
RNAcentral lists this ribosomal RNA (635 nucleotides) under Escherichia coli. Its description in RNAcentral is "partial 23S ribosomal RNA". It matches the Rfam family "Bacterial large subunit ribosomal RNA", at positions 602 to 1238 of the family's 2925-position model. The record is from RNAcentral. Lineage: Bacteria; Pseudomonadati; Pseudomonadota; Gammaproteobacteria; Enterobacterales; Enterobacteriaceae.